AGUGACGGUCCAAGAGUUGAUCAAGGAUGAGAACAACAAAGCGGCACUUGGUGUCUGCCAAGAGGUGUUGGACUUAGCCAUUGAUGACUUUCAAAAGUCAUUCGACAUGCUAGGGGAAUACGACAUGAGCAAGAUUGGAAAAUACCUUUUGGAACUGAAGACCUGGCUAAGCGGUGCAUUCACGAGUCAACAGACAUGUAUAGACUCAUUCGCGGAAUCAAGUAACGAAUCAUCGCAGAAGAUGCAAUCAAUCUUGAAGACUAGCAUGGAGAUUACUAGCAAUGCUUUAGCCAUGCUUAAUGGGUUAUCCACCAUCGUGAAGGAACUUAACAUUCCAAACGUCGGCAACAUCGACACCACGGGGGUCAACCGUAAGCUUUUGUCGGCUGAGGAUAUGCCUGAGUGGAUUAGUCAAGCUGACCGAAAACUCCUUCAAGCAAAACCAAUGGAUUUGAAACCUAACGUUGUGGUUGCUAAAGAUGGUAGCGGGAAAUAUGAUACUAUUAACAAGGCAUUGGCUGAAGUCCCUGUGAAAAGUCCCGAUCGAUUUGUUAUUCACAUUAAGGCUGGUACUUACAAGGAGCAAAUCAACUUGACCAAGAAGAUGACUAAUGUUGUAUUCAUUGGUGAUGGCCCAACCAAGACCAUUAUCACAAAUGACAUUAGCGUCGCUAAGAAUCCACCGGUUAGAACAUACCGCACUGCAACUGUUGGUAAGUAGUAUUAUAUACAUAUAUAAGUUUUGGUGGUGAAGUGUGGUGGCUAACUAGUAUAUAUGUAUGCAUGUUUGUGAAAUAUUUUAGCUGCGGAUGGGGCUGGUUUCAUGGCCAAGGACAUUGGAUUCGAUAACUCAGCAGGACCCGAAGGUCAUCAAGCAGUUGCCUUUAGGGCUACUGCUGAUAGGGUCAUCAUGUUCAACUGCCAUUUCACUGGGGUACCAAGACACUCUUUACGCUCACAGAGAGAGACAAUUAUAUAGCAACUGUCUCAUCACCGGAACGGUGGAUUUCAUCUUCGGGGAUGCGGCGAGCAUUUUCCAGAACUGUAUGCUCGUCGUGAGGAAGCCAGGGCCAGGCCAAAACUGCAUGGUUACUGCACAAGGAAGGAAUGAUCUUGGAACAAACUCAGCCAUUGUGCUUCAAAACUGCACCAUCUCGGGGGCCCCUGAUUACAUCCCAGUGAAGGAUAAGAACAAGGCGUACUUGGGGCGUCCUUGGAAACAAUUCGCUAGGUCCAUCAUAAUGCAAUCUAGGAUCGACGACAUCAUUCAACCAGAGGGUUAUGCCCCCAUGACAGGCACCAUAGGAAUAGACACUUCUUUCAUUGCCGAGUUUGGAAACAGGGGACCCGGUGCCGAUACCAGCCGUAGGGUAGCAUGGAAAGGUAUCAAAAAGAUAGAUAUAAAUGAAGCCAACAAAUGGACUCCUCGCAUCUUUCUCGAAUCCGAGACUUGGAUUCCGAGUUCCAGCGUUCCCUAUAGUCCCGACAUGGUCCCUGGAGUCUAAGCAGCUUAUUAUCAAUACCAACGCCAUUAGUUUGCUUAUUAUCAUAUCAUUGUUGUAAUUAUGUCGUUUUUUACUAAUUAAUUAAACUGUUUUUUUUAUCUUUUAUCUAUCUAUGUAUAUAUAUUGAAUUCUUUGGUUUCCUAAUUGUUGUUUCCAUUCACUUAUUAAUGAUGUUUGCAAAACCCAAAAAUUAAGUCAACGUUUAAAUAUUAUUGAACUUAAUUUAAUAUAAUUUUUUUAAAGAUUAUUUGGAUUGAUAAUGUUGUUUCCCUAAUGUAGAUACAUUCUUUAAAUAGAUUUAAUAAAAUUAUUAUUAUCAAACUUAAUUGCAAGAUUUAAUAAAAAAAUAGUUUAUUUAUAAUAAUUACUAAUAUAAUAUUAAAAAUUAAUAAAAACAAUUAUAUUAUAAAAAAUCAAUCUUAUUUUUUAUUUUUUUAUAUGGACUUAAGCAAGCAUCCCACUCGUGGAAUCAAAGAUUUGAUCAAGCGGUAAAGAUUUUUGAAUUUGAGCAGAACAGAGAAGAACAUUGUGUUUAUAAACAUUUAGGGGAUGAAAAGGUGGUAUUUCUCUUUCUACAUGUCGGGUGAAAUUCUACUAGUUGAGAAUGAUGUAGGGAUAUUGUCAUCGUUUAAACUAUGGUUAACCUAACAAUUUAAGAUGAAGGACCUGUGAGAAGCUAAUUUUGUUCUGGGUAUUCGAAAGAACAAAGUGAUAGCACUAUCGCAAGAUUCAUACAUAGACAAGAUAUUGUAGCGCUAUGUUAUAAGUGAUUUGAAGAAGGGUAAUCAAUCUUCUAAUAUCGAGAAUUCACCUUUCUUUGGAGGAUUGUCUUAAGACACUGGAAGAAAAUGAGAACAUCAGAAAGAUUCAUUAUGCUUCAACAAUAGGAAGUCUCAUGUAUGCUAUGUUGUGCAUGCAACCAAAUAUCUAUUUUGCAGUAGGUUUGGUGAGUCGAUAUCAGGUGAAUCCAAGACUAAGACGCUGACAAACAAUUAGUACAAUUAAUAAUGAUCAAUGAAUAGAAAAUGUUAGGUUUUUUUGUCGGACUCGUCCGUCAGCUUAGUUAAGAUGCAUUGAUGGGCUCCUUGUAGUUCAUUUCUAUCUGUAUUAGUCCAACACCCAUCAUGUCAUUCUAUCUAUCUUGGAUUGUUUCUUUCUCUGAAUUUACCUUUUCAGCUUGCUUUAAUGACCGACAACUUUUCUGUAGGUCACAACGAUUGAUGAUUUGCAACGCCACAUGAUUACACAACCACCGUAGCCUGCACUUAGCAUUUUUGCCUCGUAAUAAGGGUGCAAAGUAUGGUUUAAACUUGUCACUUAUCAUGUCUCUGCUUGUGUCAUUGCUCCAAAGUGGCUUUUCAGAUAUACUUAAGGUAAUGGUUGGCACGGGUGUUGCUGAAUGAAUUAGCUAGUGAAUUUGUACUAAACUUCCUAAAUCUCAGAUCUACAAAUUUUUAAGUUAUUCUAUUUUUGGUUUACUAUAUUGCUUCAUUCGUUGACGACAUGUCUCUUGCAAUGUCAGUGCACUCCGUGAUGCUUAUCGCUCAUCUAUACUUAUUUACUGCCCAACUUGAUUGAGUCUGGCUAUAUGAGCAUAGGUUCUAUCUAUAUAUAUUUUUCCAAUUUUGUUCAACAUCCGAAAAAUUCCUAGGCCUUCAAAUCUCCAAGGUUCAUGGUUAAGGUCUAAAGGUAUGCAAUGGCUAAUCAAUUUAAGUUUAUCAACUAUGUCUAUUAAUUUUUUUCUAUUUUGCCUUGAAAAUUCAUGUAUCAACAGACACUCUUCUACUAGCUCGACCUUAAUUACCAAUGUUUCUAUUGGUUGAUCUGCAUUAUGCUACUAUUAUAUUUCAGCUUUGUUGGUAGAAUCAAAGGGUUUUAGGACAAUGAGUUUCAUGAUGGUCUAAUUCUUUGGCUUGCUAGCCAUUUUCCCCACUAGCUCUAUAUCUUCCCCUUCUGCAGUGGUGUUUAACUCGUCUGGAUACUAUUUUGUCUGCUGAGAUGACUAAUAGUCUAGGAUUUCUACUUCUUCACAAGCGUCUAUAAUUUCAUUCUCUUCUUUGCUCAACUCCGGACUUAGCACAUCAUGGUACCUUUUUGAUGGUAUAUCAUUGUGGUUGUUAUUAUCUUUGGAAAGAUCUUCAUACAACCCUUCUUCAUAAGUAUUUUGAUCAUAAUCAAAGUCCUCGUCAGACCACAUAUAAUAGAAAUCAUUCGUGACUUUGUGCUGACUGAUUAUUUUGUGCCUAGGAUUCCUAAGAAUAAACAAAUGUUAAAAAUUUUAAUUAACAAAAUAAUUUGAAAGUUGUAACUAUAAACCACAAAUUUCCUAAUUAUUCUUUUAAAAUGAAAAAAAUCAAAAUCAAUCUAGUGACGUUACCUCCCCGACAAUGGCGCCAACAACUUGACCACCUUCGGACGUACUAACGCCCAACGUGUGAAUACUGCAAUAAAAUGGAUAAUUACGAGAUGGUAUCCAUAAGUGUAUAGGUCGAGUUGUAAUAUAGUUUUUACAAAGAAGUAGGUGAGUACUCCGAGGAUCGUACCUAGGGGAAGCAAGUGUUAGAUUAAUUCUAACCUAAACAUUAAAAGAUCUAAUUAGUACUUUAAAUAAAUUAUACUACGAAAGUAUAUAAAAAGGGUUUUUAAAGGUUUUUAAUAAUAAUAAAAUCAAAUAACAUAAAAGAAAUAAAACUAAAUAGAUAGAAGAGUAGAGUAAAUUAAAUCUUGAUUAUGGGUGAUUAGCUCGCUUUAGUAAUCCUCAUCAACUGUCACUUCGGGUUCCUUGUCAAUCAACUAGUCACUACCCUAGCAGGAUCUUCUGAUCUUCCACUAACAUAACAAGUCAGCAAGAACUACUUAUCUUCUGACCUCACAGUUCAAACUGGUUUGGGGUAAAGGUGUUCACGAAUGGGAAGUGCCAAUUUUGGAUUAAUUCCCACUUAGAUGACUUUUCGGGGUUGCCAAACCUAGGUUUUUUUUUUAUGUUCUUCCUUUUCCAAAUAGUUGAUCCCUUGAGUAAUCCUACAAAAUAGUUAAUAGAUCGUACAUCCACUCGCUAAUCCCCCAUACAAGGACUAGUUCCUCAUAGCUUUCAUAGACAAUAUAAAAUAAAUAUAAAGAGAAAACAUGCUAAUUAAAACGACAAGAUAAAGUAAAUGAAAAAGUCUGGUUGUAUUGAUGUUAAUUGUGAAUCCCCAAUGUUUGAAUGCUUCCACAAUUCAUAUUUCUUGAAAUCAACAAGAACAACUAAAAGAAAUCUAAAACCUAAUAACGAAAGAAAUUUAAACUGAAUUUUACAAAGAGAACUUAGGCUAAAGGAUUGAUGUCCAUAACAAGUGACAAAUGAGUCUAUUUAUAGCCUUCAGGUGGCCAUCGUCCUUAACCCUAGGUUAGCCGACGUUUCUAAACUUGAAAGUUUGAUUGUGCAGACCAAAAUGCUCUUACUUUGUGUUUUGAUUUCAUCACAGAGUCAAUGUUGUGACACACCAGGAACUGUGUUGCGACAUAGCAACCAGUAUACUCCUCUGCAACUAUCUUUAGUCUGUGCCUCGACACCCUCAGUCUGUGUCACGGAAUUGAUGGUAGUCUUGAACUUUCUUCAUUCUGCUCAUUAUGUUGCGACAUCAAGCAUCGCAUGUUGCAACAUAGUGACCAGUAUCAGUUUAGUAUGCCUUCUAAAAGUCUCCUACACACUCACCAAGUGCGUUAGCUCUCCUUUAGGCCUUAUUCAACCCAUAAGGCUAAUAAAAGACUCAAUUUGCACAUUUUAUUAAAUGUAAAUAAAACUAAGAAAACUUAACUAAAACAUAACGAAAGUGCUUGUAUUCAAACUCUUCAAAUACGAAAACUAGUUUGAUAUGCUACACCGAAUUAUGGUAGAUCAGUUAUGUAUGCAAAAUAUAAAAGACAUAAUAGUGAGAUGUGAAAUUAACUUUAUUUAUUUAUUCAUCAUUCAAAUAAAUAGAAAAUAAUUACAUGUUCACCACAAUAUGGGCACAUUUCCCAACACUCUACUCGUCGGGAACGGCAAGACAUUCGCGUUGUCAGGAAGAGCUUUCGUUUCUCAUUCGGACAAGACUAUCUGUUUAGGCCGAAUAGAGGCAUUCUCCCACAUAUUUGAUGAAACAAUUUAAAUUUAAAUUUAUUUUGUUAUGGUUUUUGGGACUAUAAUAUUUUUUAAUUUUGGGUUAUGGCAUGUGUUCUUUUUAAGUUCGGAUUUUUGCAUGCAUUCAAUUUCAUUAAAUUGAACAAACCAAAUUAAUCUUCUUAACAUCAUAUAAAAUAUGGUUUAGAGUAAAAAAUGAUGGUUUCACCUAAACAAAAAUCAACUAAGUUUACCCAAAAAUGUCACAACACAUAUUAAAUUUGGACUUUUAAGUUUAACUCAAUGUAAAAUCUUAUGUUUUUGAUAAAUAUAUGACUACUACCUAAUUUUUCUAAAAAUCGGAAAAAUAAAAGUUACGAUAACUAAACAGUUCUACUAGACCAUUUUGGUGGCCAAUGUAGCUUUCAAGAUCAAUUAUAAUGCCUGGUUUGGGUCUAGGGAAGUUACAGUUACGGCUGAAAAUUUCAAGCAAUUGGAAAAAGAUGGAGUUGAACAGGUGCUCACGAGAGAAGAUGGCUAGAGACAAUUAAUGCUAACGGCGGGGAAUUGGAAAAAAUUACUAUUGACAAGCAAGUUUUGUCGGAUGUGAGUGAAUAUGUUGAAUUAUGGGGUGGUGAUGGUAGAAAGUCAAAUAUUGAAGGUGACAUGAAAGGGGUGACGUUGCUUAGUACUGAUAACAUAGGUGUAAACGAGACAAUUGAAGUGGGAGUAAAUAACUGGGGCAAGGAAAGUAAGUGUUGGCAAGUCCAAUUUCAAGAUGGAUCGGACACUAGCGUUGGGCUAUUUAGAUGGGAAUAAGGUUACGUUGAAAUAGCUGAGGUGAUGGGUGGAGAUAAUAUAACUGCAGGCAAGGAAUUGGUUGAAAUUACGAAGAGGAAAUUGAAUAGGAGUAUAUAGCCAAAGGAGACAGUAAAGUUUUUUUAGUUACGAGUUUAAGCCUCCACCAAAAAUUCAAUUACAUUAUUUAACGUUGAUCUGAUAACAAAAUGUCCUGCACCAAUUGCGCAAUCUCUAGCCCCUUUAGACAUCACCACAUCUACCGCCUUGUUCGUCAUCCUUGAAGGAGGCAACAAACUUAUUUAAUAAUAUGAUUUGAAUUAAAUAUAUGUUUAAUAUUACUGUACCGCAUUAUUUUACAUCAUAAUAUUAUGAUUAUAAUAAUUAUUAUUUCAAUUUCUACUCAUGCACAGGUUUGCUUUAACAAUAAAGAAUCCAUAUUAAUAGUCAAAAUUUAAACAUAUUAAAUAAAAAUAAAUAAUAAUGCAUUUUUUAAUAUUAUUUUUUAAAAUUAUUUUUAAAUCAUUUUAAAUAAUAACAAUUUAAUUAAAUAUAAAUUUGAGAAUAAAUAUAUACAUUAUUUUAUUAUAUUAUUUAUGAUAUGAUAUGAUAUGAUUUCUUACAAAUGUUUCGAACAACAUUAGUUACCAUUUAAUCCACAAAGCUUUAAUUUAUAAGUGUCAAAGAAAAAUCCUAAAACACCAAAGUUAAUUUUUCGUGGAAUGUGAAAAGAUUUUAAAAAACUAAUAUUUAAUUUACAAUUUAGCAUUUAAAUUAAAUUUAUAUAUUAAUUAUUUCGAUACUUACAAUAUCAAUUUAUUUCAAAAAUAUUUUACUCAAACAUAUAUAAAAUAAGAAAUAGAAGAUUAAAACACCAUAGUUUUAUAGAGCCAUUAAUAUCCAUAAAAUUUAAACAAAUUCUCACAUCCGUAGGGCCCUCUCCACCAUGAAACAUUUUAAACUAAAUGUGGACAUUUUUUCGGUUUUAACUAAUUCAUUUUUUAAUAUAAAUAUGGAACUUCAAUAGCAUAUUAUUCAAGCUUCUGCUCAAGGGGCCAUAAGUGAUAAACAAUAAGAAGCCCCACAACUUCAAAUAAGGUUUUCUUCUUUCUUGCUUUCUUUUCUUCAGGGGGAAAGAAAGAGAGAAGAAGAUACUUUUUUUGAAACAAAAAAAAGUUGUUUAAAAAUGGCGAAUAAUGCUAUUAUUGGUAUUUGUGCGGUGUUCUUGGUGGCCUUGGUGGUAGCCGUGGUGGUGGGUGUUACGCACAUAAAAAAUAAGAGCGAUGGUGAAGAGAUAUCGAGUUCGAACAAAGCUGUGCAAGCCCUAUGUCAACCCACGAAUUAUAAAGAGACGUGCCAGAAAAGCUUGGCGUCAUCAAAUUCUAGCGACGUUAAGGAGCUGAUAAGGACAGGUUUCCAAGCCGGGCUAGUCGAGAUAAAGAACGUGUUAGCCCAUUCAGUGACGGUCCAAGAGUUGAUCAAGGAUGAGAACAACAAAGCGGCACUUGGUGUCUGCCAAGAGGUGUUGGACUUAGCCAUUGAUGACUUUCAAAAGUCAUUCGACAUGCUAGGGGAAUACGACAUGAGCAAGAUCGGAAAAUACCUUUUGGAACUGAAGACCUGGCUAAGCGGUGCAUUCACGAGUCAACAAACAUGUAUAGACUCAUUCGCGGAAUCAAGUAACGAAUCAUCGCAGAAGAUGCAAUCAAUCUUGAAGACUAGCAUGGAGAUUACUAGCAAUGCUUUAGCCAUGCUUAAUGGGUUAUCCACCAUCGUGAAGGAACUUAACAUUCCAAACGUCGGCAACAUCGACACCACGGGGGUCAACCGUAAGCUUUUGUCGGCUGAGGAUAUGCCUGAGUGGAUUAGUCAAGCUGACCGAAAACUCCUUCAAGCAAAACCAAUGGAUUUGAAACCUAACGUUGUGGUUGCUAAAGAUGGUAGCGGGAAAUAUGAUACUAUUAAUAAGGCAUUGGCUGAAGUCCCCGUGAAAAGUCCCGAUCGAUUUGUUAUUCACAUUAAGGCUGGUACUUACAAGGAGCAAAUCAACGUGACCAAGCAGAUGACAAAUGUUGUAUUCGUUGGUGAUGGCCCAACCAAGACCAUUAUUACAAAUGACAUUAGCGUCGCUAAGAAUCCACCGGUUAAAACAUACCGCACUGCAACUGUUGGUAAGUAGUAUUAUAUACAUAUAGAAGUUUUGGUGGUGAAGUGUGGUGGCUAACUAGUAUAUAUGUAUGUAUGUUUGUGAAAUAUUUUAGCUGCGGAUGGGGCUGGUUUCAUGGCCAAGGACAUUGGAUUCGAUAACUCAGCAGGACCCGAAGGUCAUCAAGCAGUGGCCUUUAGGGCCACUGCUGAUAGGGUCAUCAUGUUCAACUGCCAUUUCACUGGGUACCAAGACACUCUCUACGCUCACAGAGAGAGACAGUUAUAUAGCAAUUGUCUCAUCACCGGAACGGUAGAUUUCAUCUUCGGGGAUGCGGCGAGCAUUUUCCAGAACUGUAUGCUCGUCGUGAGGAAGCCAGGGCCAGGCCAAAACUGCAUGGUUACAGCACAAGGAAGGAAUGAUCUUGGAACAAACUCAGCCAUUGUGCUUCAAAACUGCACCAUCUCGGGCGCCCCUGAUUACAUCCCAGUGAAAGAUACGAACAAGGCGUACUUGGGGCGUCCUUGGAAACAAUUCGCUAGGUCCAUCAUAAUGCAAUCUAGGAUCGACGACAUCAUUCAACCAGAGGGUUAUGCCCCCAUGACAGGCACCAUAGGAAUAGACACUUCUUUCAUUGCUGAGUUUGGAAACAGGGGACCCGGUGCCGAUACCAGCCGUAGGGUAGCAUGGAAAGGUAUCAAAAAGAUAGAUAUAAAUGAAGCCAACAAAUGGACUCCUCGCGUCUUUCUCGAAUCUGAGACUUGGAUUCCGAGUUCCGGCAUUCCCUAUAGUCCCGACAUGGUCCCUGGAGUUUAAGCAGCUUAUUAUCAAUACCAACGCCAUUAGUAUGCUUAUUAUCAUAUCAUUGUUCUAAUUAUGUCAUUGUUUACUAAUUAAUUAAACAGUUUUUUUAAUCUUUUAUCUAUCUAUAUAUAUAUGUUGAAUUCUUUGGUUUCCUGAUUGUUGUUUCCAUUCACUUAUUAAUGAUGUUUCCAAAACCCAAAAAUUAAGUCAACGUUUAAAUAGACCUGUCCAUGGGCCGGGCGGCCCGGCCCGGCCCGACGGCCCGCCCGAAAUAUGGGAGGGUUCGGGUAAAAAUAUAGGCCCGAAAUAUGGGCUUGGGCAAAAAAACGAGGCCCGUUUAAAAAAUGGGCCGGGCUCAGGCUCAACUUUUUUGGCCCGGGCCCGGCCCGAAUAUAAUAAAUAUAUAUUUUUUAUUUUUAUUUUUUAAUUUUUAAUUUUUAAUUUUUAAUUUUUAAUUUUUAAUUUUUAAUUUUUAAUUUUUAAAUACUUUUAAAAAAACUUUUUUUAUUUUUUUAUUUUUAAAAUAUUUUUUUGUGUUUAUUAAAAAUCGGGCCGGGCUCGGGCUUAUUAUUUUUUUCCCGGGCCGGGCCUGGGUAAAAUUUUAGGCCCAUAUUUCGAGCCGGCCCGGGCCCGGGCCUAAGAGUCGGGCCGAAAUUUUUUCUGGGCCCGGCCCGGCCCAUGGACAGGUCUACGUUUAAAUAUUAUUGAACUUAAUUUAAUAUAAUUUUUUAAGGAUUAUUUGGAUUGAUAAUGUUGUUUCCCUAAUGUAGACAGCUUACUUUAAAUAGAUUUAAUAAAAUUAUUAUUAUCAAACUUAAUUACAAGAUUUAAUAAAAAAAUAGUUUAUUAAGUAACAAUUACUAAUAUAAUAUUAAAAAUUAAUAAAAAAUAUAUUAUAAAAAAUCAAUCUUAUUUUUAUAUAUAUUUUUUAUAUAUGGACUUAAGCAAGCAUCCCGCUCAUGAAAUCAUAGAUUUGAUCAAGCGGUCAAGAUUUUUGAAUUUGAGCAAAACAUAGAAAAACAUUGUGUUUAUAAAUAUUUAGGGGAUGAAAGGGUGGUCAUUCUCGUUCUAUAUGUCGGGUGAAAUUCUAAUAGUUAAGAAUGAUGUAGGGAUAUUGUUAUCGUUUAAACUAUGGUUAACCCAACAGUUUAGGGUGAAGGACUUGGGAGAAGCUUAUUUUGUUCUGGGCAUUUGAAUCCUAAUGGAUCGAAUGAACAAAGUGAUAGCACUAUCGCAAGAUUCAUACAUAGACAAGAUGUAACAACUCGUUUUUCAAUGGUAUCGAAAAUAGUGGUUUUGGGGCCACAAAUCUGAUGAUUAAGUUUGUAAAUAUUAUUAUUUAAUAUUUACGAGUCAAAUAAAGUUUUAAAAAGGUUUUCGAUUUGGUAAUUUAUGUUAUAUAAAUGAUAAAUUAAGUUGAAGUUGUAAGACCCUAAAGUCAAGUGGUUUUAGAAAAUGAGGUAUCGGUAACUCGUUUCUAUAUAUCGAGUCAUAAACAUUUUUAUAAAUAUUUACGGAGUGUUAUUAAGGUUCUAUUAAAGUUUCAUUAAGAAAUUUUAAUGUUUAAAAGGUUAAUUAGGUGAAAAGGUCUAAAUUGAAAAAUGUGCAAAAGUUGAAUGCUAUUACUUAAAUGGAUCUAAAAUAUAUGGAAAGGUAAAUUCUUGGACUUGGAUGGUAAUUAUACCAUAUUUAAUGUGAGUGGAUAUUCAUAGGAAGGUUGCAUGGUAAAUCUUGUAAAUUUUAAAGGUUAUAAUAGUAAUUAAUUAAUAUAAACUAAAAUAACUUAACCUAAAAUUAUCAUCCUCUUCCUUCUUUAAUUUCUUUAACCGAAUGUCUAUGGUGGGUGAAGGAAAACCAUUCGGCCAAUUUAUUUUGGGGUGCUUGGCAAGCUAUUUUCACCUAUUUCUCUUAAUUUUUAUGUUUUUGAGAUCGUUGAAACUAGGUCUAGCUAGCUCGUACAUUCGAUUUUGAAAUUGUUAAAGGUAUUGAAUUUUUCCAUUGAUGAAUAUUGUGAAUUUAGAUAUUAAAUGAUAAAUUUGAAGUGUUGUUUAGUAUUUAAAAGUAUUUUGUUAAAUGAUUUUUGAGGAAUUUCCCGAUUAGGGACUAAAUUGUUAAAAUAAUAAAAUAUAAGGAUUUGAUGUGAAAAUUUUAUAAAUAUGGGCUGUAUUGGGAGCUAUAAACACUCGUCUAAGAUCAAAUUUGGGUAAAAAUGGUUAAUCUACAUGUUUUAGGCUCAGGGACUAAAUUGAAUAAAAAUAACAUGUUAGGGACAAUUUUGUAAAAGUGUCAAAAAUGACUAAAUUGCAUACAAUAAUUUUUUUUACUAAUCUAUAGUAGUAAAUUGAAUGAAAUUAUUAAUUUAGAUCAAGAUCGAGUGGAAAAUCGAGGAGAAUAGAAAAUUACCAAAAUGCACAUAUACUUUGACAUUUCUGCAAUUUAGCUAUGUUAGUUUGUACGGUUAGCAUUUAACAUUAAUAUGAAUUGUUGAGUAGAUUAACAUGGUACAACUUAUAUAUUUAUUUUUAAUUGUUGAUAAUUAAUGGUAGUUUGAGAUAUAAUAUUAAAUUUGAUGCUCGGUUUGGAUUGAAUGCGGGAUAGAGUACAAUCGUGAUUUUGUGUGUUUUAUGUAACACCCCCUAACCCUAAACCGUCGCCGGAAUAAGGUUACGAGGCAUUACCAGACAUGUCAAACAAUUUACAAAUAAUUCUUAAAUAAAUAACCAACAUAUUAAAAUAAUUCAUAAAUACACAUAAAUUUCACUAAUUGAUUCCAUUCAUUUUUUUUCUUUUAUAAAAAUUUCGGUAGCAUUUCUACUUAUUUUUACAUAAAACCCCCUGCAAAAUUUCAAAACAUAACCAACCCAAUUCUAGUAUUUCAAUCAAGUCAUUUAUAUACUUAAAUCUUACUUGACAUAUUGACGUAACAACUUAAUUAAUAAAAAUCCUACUAUCAUUUCUAAUUAACUCAUAAAACUAAUCAAGUCAUUUCAAUUCGAUACCAAUGCCAUAAAUGACUUCUACCAUUUUACUAAUAUAAUCAUCAAAACACAUUAUAUCUUACUUUACAACAAAACUAUAUAACAUACCAAAAUAACUAUUAUAAUUCUUAUGUACAUGCCACUUUCAUUUAAGGAAGAAAACAUCACUGAAAACUCUAUGCAGGAGUCGGGAUUGUCCUGGAUGCUGAACCGAGACUCUGACCCCUUUUCAACCUACGCAUGGAAACAACCGUACGCUGAGUAUUUUAUACUCAGUGGUAUUACCAUAAUUCAAAUUAUAAUAACAAUAAAGAAUUAUAAUUACGAAGCAUGUAACUAUCCGAUUUCUUAAUAUCAAUUAAUUCAUAAACUUUCAUUAUUUAACAAUAACAAUACAAUUUUUUAGCUAUCUUCAAUCUCAAUCACAUAUCACAUGUAGCAAUUUCAAUCACUACAUAAACAUUAAAUUCAUGCCUUUUAUUUUCAAUAUCAAUUUCAAUCUACAAAUUUUUAAUUUUCUCAUAUUCAAUACCACAAUCGAUCAAAUUCAUUUGAUUUUCUCAUUUCAAUUAUUCACCCUAUUAACAAUCUGGACUUUGACAGAUACACGGAUUCCAACCCAAACACACCAAUACGGCACAUUGUGCCUCAAACGGUACAUAGUACCUGAUUAGUAUACGACACAUAAGUGCCUGAAACGACACACGAGGUGCCUGAUACGACACAUAAAGUGCCUGAGAUACGACACAUAAAGUGCCUGGUGUACGACACAUAAAGUGCCUGAUCGGCAAAGCCGAUAAAUCCCGUACUCUUCCAAAUCCUAUGGCAUGCCAACUAUAUCUGACUUAGCCCGACUAGUUAAUAGGGUAUUCAAAUUCUCAAUUCUCUUUCAUUAUCAAUUCAAGAUCACUUUUCCACUUUUUAAUCAAUUAACAAUUUAAUACCAAUACAUAUUUCAAAUAAUCACAUAUAAUCAUAUUUCAAUUCAAUUCAAACCACUUUUCAAUCAUUACACAAUUCACAUAUUCACACAUAUUCAUAAAUUAAUUCACUUUAUUUAAUUCAUAUUUUAAAUUCAUUUUUCAAUCAAAUUCAAAUCACUAAUUACUUUUUAAUCAAUAUACAUUUCAAAUACUCACAUAUUUCCUUCAUUCAAUUUAAUUUGAUUCAAUUCAAAUCACUAUUAUCAUUUCAAUUGCUUACCCAAUUUUACUUACCAUGCAUUUUAAUUAAAAUAUAACAAUUAAUAAUAAAUAGAUUUGAAUUAUAGUAAUACAAACCCGAAUUUGCUCGAUUAUUCCUCAACGACCUUCUGCUUCCCUUUUUGUGCCGAUACCUCAAAUUCUUUACUAGCUAUGAAAAUUAAAUAAUUAAAUAAUUAAUUACAGCACAAAUUUUACAAUAAAAAUAAAAUUUCUAUCAAAUUUUAUACUUUAAUUCCAAUUUAAUCCUAACUAGAUUUAUCUACUUUUCUAAUUUAAUUCACACUCUAUUUCUAUUCAAAUUUCUUCUAAACUCAAAUUUAUCUACUAAUUUUUCAGCAUUUUUCACUAAUUUCGAAUUUUCCUCAAUUUAAUCCCUAAAAUUCAAAACUUAUAGUUUAGUUUACAAUUCAAUCCUUUAUUCAAUUCCAAAUAAAAUUUCUAUCAAAUAAAUCCUCAAUUCCAUCAUUUAUUCAACAUAAACCCUACUCAAAAAUCUAUUAACUUUCAAAUUUUCAACUUAAAUCCAAGAUUAUUUCACUCUAGGAUUCCAAAAACAUCAAAUUUAUGAGAAAAUAACUUGAUUUAGCUUACCUAUUAAACUUCAAGCUUCAAAAUCUCAAUUUUCCCCCUUUCUUUUCUUUCCCUUUUUCUUCCCCUGUUUUCGACUCUUUCUCUGUUUCUUUUCUGUUCUUCUUCUCUUUUUCUAUUCUUUUAUUUCAUUUGUUUUCUUUUACUUUUUUGUUAUAAUAAUAUAAUAUAUAAUAAUUAAUAUAAAUAUCUUUUACCACACAUGUCAUAUUCAUAACUAUACAUUUGUCCUAAUCUUAUUUAUCUCACAAUAUAAUAAUAAUAAUAAUUUAAUAAUAUAUUUUAACACAUAAAAAUCUUAAAUUUUUAUGCUUAUGCCGCCUCAAAUUUGGCAAUUGGCAUAAUUGCCUAUUUAAUCCCAUUUAUUGUAUUUUAAUCUAUAAUUAAACUUUCACUUUUAUUGUAAUUUAAUCCUUUUUACUAAUUACUCUUAAUUAGACUAAAUUCACCUAAUUAAUACCUAAUUAAGCACUAAACUAAACUCAUAAUUACUUCUAAUAAUUAUUUUCAAACUCAAUUUACUAAGACGGAGGCCCGAUAUUAUAUUUUUUCGAUGCCCGUGAAUUUUUGGGUCAUUACAUUUUAAGGGUAUAGAGUGGAGAUGAUAUUGGAGGGAGAUGUCUGUAUAUUACCUGAGUAAAUUGAGGUUCAACAUUUGUUGUGAACUCUCGUGUUAUACUCUAUGUCUGGUGUGUUUCGGUUGGAUUAGCUCUUAUGAGCUUCUGUCCGGCGUGUUUCAGUUGGAUUAGCUCUUAUGAGCUUAUGUCUGGUGUGUUCGGUUGAUUUGAUGAUGCACUCUUAUCCGUAAUUCGUUCUUCAAAUGAAAAAUCUCGGUAAGGUAAUCUGUUUAAUGAAUUUGAAAAAUUUAUUAUUUAUUGAAUAUUAAUCUAAACAUAGAUGAAUUCAUCGGUUGAAAUUGUAGAUGAAAGGGAAUUCUCAUGGUUGAUUAUUAUUGUUUGAAUUGUUGUAUUUGCUUCGGUAAGAUUUAUCGUUUAAUGUGUCGAACUUACUAAGCUUCAUUAAGCUUACUUGUGUUGUUUAAUGUCAUUAUAGAUUCUCGAAAGGUUGGACGAUCGGAUCGGCACUCAAGUCACUCUAUCCAGCUCAAUUUGAUAGUUUUUGGAACGUUUAAUUUAUAUUAUAUGGCAUGUAUAGGCUCUUGUGUUAUUAUCGUUAAUGUUUUGGUUUAUAUAAAAACUAUGGAUGAUUUUUUGUUUAAAUGGUCAACUUAUAUAAUAUAUGAGAAUGAGGUAUAGUUUCUAUGAUAAUGUGAAUGAUAUGUAUGAAAGAAAUGUUAUGAUUGAGAUACCUUUGAUAGGUAUUUCAGAUAAAUAUUGCUUGAAUGAAUUAAUAAGUUGAAUUGAUAAUUAUUUUGAUGUAUAAUUAUAUAUACUUGUGGCACCAAUGAGAGUACAUUAGUUAGGCACUUAAUAGGUUGGUUUUGGUGUGUUUUUGGCUCGAUUAAAGUCAUUUUGAUUUGGUAUUUUGAUUGGUAUUUGAGUUUCUUAAGGUCCAAGCAAACUUGAAAUGGUAAUAUUGUGUUUUAAGGUUCAUUUUGGGUCCACACGGCCUGAAAUGGUAUUUGACUUCCAAACGUGUCGAGAUUCGAGGAAAUCAAUAGCAGGUUGUGUUGUUGUCCUAGGUGAUCUACUGUAAUUUGAUACGUCAAAUUAAACCCUCAAAUGCACUUAAGGAGCUUAUCUUUAAACAAUUUUAGUGUCUUUUAUAUGUUUUUUUAUUUUUAAUUUUAUUUUUAAUAAAUUUUUUAUUAGUUUCAAGUCAUUUCUGAUACCCAAAUUGGCCAAUUGUGGCAUGGGAAACCUAACAAGUUGAUUAAGUGAUGUAGGGAGUCGGCGGUGGCCUGAACAGGAAGAAAAUAUCACCUACAAGUGGGUAUCACGAUAUCGAAGUAUGGAACGAUAUCGAAGUAUGGAAGUGUAAUACCCUUGAAAAAACUGAAAUGAAAAAAAUCGGGGCCGACUACUGUGACAUGAUGUCGAAAUCAUUUUUAAAUUUAGAAAAAAAUGGGGAUCGACUUUUAAAAUGAAAACCGGGAGUCGCCACCGAUCUUUUAUUGAGGUGUGAUUGGAUCACCUUGGAAAUAAUUUUAGGUCUGCGAAUUUUGAGAAAACAGGUUCGGGAGUCGGUUACGCAUUAGGAAGGGUUAGCACCCUCGUGACGCCCAAAAUUGGUACUGAAUUGAUUGUUUAAUGUCUUAAUGUCAAAAUUUGAAAAGAUUUUAAAAUACGAUCCUUUUAACUUGAAUAAAUUGAAUAAUAAAACACUCUUAUUUCAAAGAAAUAGAAUGUCACACCCAGUGAGUUAAGGCGCAACAUUUUUAAUCUUCCAAAAUUAAGUUUAUCUUUUAACUUUUAAAACCCAUGCAUGUUGAGAAGAAUAUUUGGUCAUUUGGGUCAAAUGAAAAAAUCAAAAUCCAGUAAGUUAGGGUUCAAUUUCCCAAAAUUCCUAAAUACCUCAUAUUGCCUUUAUUUUUAGAAGAAUCCUCGUCUCGAGAAAAUAACAUGUCAUAUCCAAUGCAUUAGGACACAACGUAUCGAAUUCCCGAGAAUGAGCUUUUAUUUAUGUGUUUUGAUUAAAGAAAAUUUGAUUAUUUAGAUUCAACGAGAAAAAUUAAAACCCAAUACGUUAGGGCUCAAUUCUCUCGAGGAUUCCAAAUAUCGGGUAUUGCCUUUAUUUUCAAAAUUCCUUUUUAUACAUUGCGUAGAAAGGUCAAAUAUGUUUAAACAUCAUGUAUGGUACAAUGAUAAUGAAAUGGUGUGAAAUGGCUAUGUGGGUAGAAUAAUACAUAAAGGAAUGUUAUAAUAUUUGCAAUGAAACUAUAAUAAUAAUGCACCAACUAAUAAUAGCAAUAAUCAUAUUAAUUACUAUAGCAUGAAAAUACGAAUAAAUGAAAUAAUACACAUAAUGACAAUACUUACACCACACAUCAAAUACAAAUACUAAUAAUCAAAGCAAACAAAACGAAUAAUAUAUAUAAGUCAAUUUAAAGAAAAUAAUAGCUCAAAAUGAAUGAUUUGUGCUGGCAUUUCAAAAUAAAUAAUAACGAUUCAAAUAAGUAGAACAUAUAUAUAAAAAAAUUAGACAAUAAAUAAAUAACAAUGGAAACAAUUAAAAAAUAUAUUUAAAAAGAACAUAUAUUUUGAAAAAAAUACAUAUAUACGUACAGAAGAAAAAAAAUUUGAAAAAUGUUCAUACAUAAGUUUAUAAGAAAUAAUAUGUAUAAAAAAAUAAAUUUAAUGUAAAACAACUUCAAAUAAAUAAUAAAUAUAAAAACUUAAAAUAAGUAACGAUAAAAGAACAUUUUCUACAAAUAAAUGAAUUAAAUAAACCGAGGAUGAGGUGGAAACAGAAUUAAAAUUCGAGGCUUUAAUUGCAAAAUCGCAAACAGUUCGCAAGGGGACUGAAAUAAGAUGCGCUGAUGACAUGAGGGACUGACUGUGCAAUAUCCCCGUCCCUUAUGCACAUCGUUUUGCGCAGGACAAGAUUGGAACAGGCGCAAAGUUCUAUGGCUGAAAUUAAGUAAAAUAAAAAGGCUGCAUCGAAUGUGCCCCAGAAUUGGAAGGACUAAUUUCGCAAAAUACCCAUUAGGGUAAUAAUGCGCAGCCCUCCAAGCCUUCAAACGGCACCGUUUUAAUAAUCAAUAUAAAAAGAAAAAAAAACCUAGACUAAGCCCGAAACAGAACCCUAGCAAUCCCUUCUCAUUUCUGCGCCGUUCUGCUACGUCCAUAGGCCAAUGGUUUUCCGAAUCCCCUUUGCGCGACUCCGAUUGCGACGGAGCGAAGGACACCGGUCACCAGGUACGUUUCUCACUCUGAACUUUCUUCUUUAUUUGUUUACCCUAGCAAUGAACUAAAGAAUCAAAGAAAAAAAGAGAAAAACGAAGAGAAAAUUCAAAAAAACUUACGAAGCUUAGUUUUCUUUUAAUGUUUUUUCUUGUUUCUGUAUUCAAUCUCUGUAUGCGUAAAAAAGGGAAAAGAGACCCCCUUUAAGUACAUCUUUGGGUUUUUUAUAACCCGAAAACAAAAAGAAAAGAAAACGAAUACAAAUUCUUUUUUUGUUUUUCUUUUUCUCUGCCUUUCUUUUGCUGUUUGUUUGUUCCAUUUUGCUGUCGAUUUGUUGUUUGCUGCAGGUACGGUCGUACGAGGGGGCAAUGGCAUCGCGUACGGAAGCAGAGGCUGACGUGGAGCUGCUCGGAGGCUAAACCUGCUGGCUGCGGCGCUAAAAGUCUCAGAAACCCUAGGGUUUUUGUUUGUUCCAGUUUUGGGCCAAGGGUAUUUAGUUGGUUUGGGCUUGUAAGGCGAUUAGGCUGGGGUGUAUUUGGUCUGUAUGAUUUUAGGCUUGUAUUUUGGGCUUGCUGGACUGAUGGACUUUUAAUAACCUUGUUAUUAUUAUUAUUUUUAUUAUUUAUUUUUUUAUAUAAUUUGUUUAUUUAUUUGAUUUGGGCCGGGCAAAAUUAGGGUAUUACACAUGAUAUUCAAGUUUGUUGGGGGUAUCACCAUCCAUUCCAAGAUUGUUGGGGGUAUCAUGAUAUUCAAGUUUGGUUAUCACAAUAUCGCUGCCUAAAGGGUGAAAAAACUGAAAGGCAAUUUUAUGUCCAACAAACUUAAGUCUAUUUUUCACUUAAUGGUAAAAUAGUCAAUGCUAGGUUAAAUAGUAAUAGGCUAUAAAUACAACUUUAUAAGCCUUUCAUUUUAAAUUUUACUAUUAUCUUUACCCGUUAGUUAAAAAAUGAGUUACUUGUCUAAUGGUUAAGUGUUAGUGAAAUUGUCUUUGAAACCCAAGUCUGAAUCUCCUCCCUCGCAUAAUUUUUAUAUGUUGUAUUUUUUCCCAAAAACCCUAGGUGUUGUCGUCCCAUGUUGUAACCCUAGGUACAUAUUGUAUUUUUUUCUUUUCUUUUCAGCCUCAUUUGCUCACCCUCUCUACGUCCCACCUUCUCUCUUCCUCUCAUUUCUUCAAUAAUUCUUUUCUCUUAUCUCUUUUAUUGCCUCCCCUUGAAACCUCAUGUUUUCUCUUUCAUUGACGUCGCCCUAGUGAUCAGCCACCACUACUGUUGCCCCUUUUGUUUCUCCUCUCCUUCUUUCAUUUUCUCUCAUUCUUUUGUUGACGAAACCACCAUUCAUCUUUGGUCAGAUCUUUUUUGGCCCUUUGCAAGUGAUCAAUCCGUUUUGUGAUUAUUUGUUAUCAAAGGUCUGAGAUCCGCGAAGUGUAAGUUGUUUAUUAGUCAAAUUUAAAUACAUAUUUCUUUUCUAUAAUGGUCAAAUCUAUCAAGAGUCCAUGGCUAAUUCUCACAUGUGUUCUUUUUGUGUUUUUUUAUUGAAGGUUCAUAUUCAAAUCACUCAGAUCAAUGGUGACAUCAAACAUUAUUCGCGUCUUCGUCUUAAGUUGAAAUAGUACUAGUGUAUGUGGUGAUUCCAAAAAUCAUAUAUGAAUUGCCAUUGUUUUCUCUGAUUUGGCCGAACCCUAUAAGGUGAUUAGAGGCUAAUUUCUAACAAUUACUUCCUUGUGUUAGGUACAAAUUAAACCAGAUUUAAUCAGAUCUGAAGCAUAGGAGCUGCAGACUAGUGUUAGUGCUUCAGAUAUGCAUUAUUCAGGUAUGGGUCCUAACUUUGUAUGGUUGGUGAUUGUUGAAAUCAUGUUUGUACUUUAUUGGCAUUGGUCGAAUGUUAUAGGGCCUUAAAGUGUAAAUAACCAAGUGUGUAAGUGUUAUAAGUGUUAACUGAUUGUAUGCCUAUUGUUACUGGUUGAUUAGCUGAAUGCAUGUUAUUACAUGUACUGUAUUGUUAAGCAUGUUGAUUGUUAAUGUAUAAAUGGAUUGCGAAUAUAGCAUGCCAUUGAUUGAUACAUUGUUUAUUGCUUGCAUUUAAAAAAAAAAACAUGUCACUGAUUGAUAUUAUUUUAUCGAAUUGAAAUUGUUACACAUGCCAUUGUUAUUGCAAUUGUUAUUGAAAAGCAUUGCCAUAAUGCAUUGCAUGGGGACUUGGAUUGAUUGGAGAUGGAGGAGAUCCAUGGAGUACGGACAGUUUAUCUGUCAUAUUAUACUGGCAAUUAAUCUACAACCCUGAAGUCAUGUUCGGAGUACUGACGGUUUAUCCGAAAAUUACUAGUAGUUUAUCCACAAAUUAUUGGCAAUCAAUUGAAAAAAUUGUCAAUGGUGGUUUAUCCACAUUGAGCUAAGACUCUUACUGUUUUAGUGUUCGAAUGUUGAGCUUUGGGGAACUCAUAGUGUGUAGCAGAUGGAUGGGUAGGAAAUAUACAUUGUUUUCAUAUGAGCAUGUACAUAUAUAUAUAUUAUAUUUUUAUGAUGUCAUGCUAUACUAUGAUCUAAGAAAUGUUGCUGGCUAUAUGCUUUACUAUAGUUUGAACGUCUGCAUGUAUAUACAAUGUUUACUAAGUUUAAGACUUGCGUUGAGCUUUUUACAGCUCACCCCCAUAAUUUUAUCUAAACUUUGAGGUUAGGAUCGGACACGAUAUUCAGAGGUUUCAUCUCAAUUUUAUUUAAUAAAGCAAUUUAAAUUUUACUUUAUUCUGUUAUGGUUUUUGGGACUGUAAUUUUGUUAAUUUUGGGUUGUGGCAUGGGUUCUUUUUAAGUUUGAAUUUCCACAUGCAUCCAAUUCAUUAAACUGAACAGACCCAACAAAUUUGCUUAACAUCAUAUUAAAUAAGGUUUAAAGUAAAAACUGAUGGUUCCAAUUUUUCCAAUACGAAACAAGGAAAAGAGUUUUGAAAAGCAAAUCAACAAAACAAAAAUCAAUUAAGUUUACCCUAAAAUGUCACAACACAUACUAAAUUUGGAGCCUUAAUAUUAACUUGACUUAAAAUCUGAUGUUUUUAAUAAAUAUAUGUCAACCAAUCUAAUUUUUCUAAAAAUUGAAAAAAUAAAUGUUACGAGAACUAAACGAUUCUACUAGGCCAUUUCGGUGGCCAAUGUAACCUUCAAGAUCCGAUCAUAAUGUUUGAACCAGAUUAGGGAGGAUACCGUUAUGGUUGAAAAUUUCAAGCAAUUGGAAAAAUAAAUAUUACUAUUGACAAGCAAGUGUUGUCGAAUGUGAGAGAAUAUCUUAAAUUUUGGGGUGGUGAUGGCAAAAAGUCAAAUAUUGAAGCUGACAUGAAAGGGGUGACGUUGCUUAGUAUUGAUAACAUCGGUGAAAAUGAGACAGAUGAAGCGGAAGUAAGUAACCGGGGCAAAGAAGGUGAGUGUAGGCAAAUCCAAUUUAGAGGUGGAUCGAACACUAGUGUUGGGCCAUUCAGAUGGGAAUCAAGGUUCCGUUGAAACAACUGAGGUGAUGGGUAGAGAUGAUAUGACUGCAGGAAAGGAAUUGGUUGAAGUUACGAAGAGGAUAUUGUAAAUGAGUAUAUAGCCAAAGGAGGCAACAAAGUUAAGAAAAUUGAGAAAGAAGAAACUAACGGCUAGUGGUGAACACAUUCUGACUUCAAAAACAAGAACGCGUUGAAGUUGGGUAAGAUUAUGGGAUUACAAGUUGGUGGAGAUAAGGAUGAAGUUUUGAGACAUUUGGUAGCAAUUAGACUUAGCUCAGUUCAAGGAAUGUUGAAGUUUGAUUUUGUUUUUUUUGUUUUUUUUUUUUGUGUACCAGUCAGUACCCUCAAACUUUCUUCUCUAAAACUCUCCUAAUGUUUCCCAUGAAUCCCCGGCGCUAGCAUGCAAACUAUCUUAUGUUUCUCCAAAAUAAGAGAUACUCUCUCGAUUUUGCUCUUGGGGUUCAUUGCAAAAGUCUGACAGACAGAUGAAACCGUGGUGUUUGAAACUUCUCCCCAUCUCAAGGCUCUAUACGACUUCUACAUCUGGGCUUUUUAAACAUUGAUAAUAGUAUCUUACAUGCUAAGUCUGGAAAGAAACAAAGAACUCUUUUGGAUCGUUUAUUUCAAUUUUUCUCAUAUGUCUCGUUUCUCUUUGUCCCUAGGGGUGUGCAUAAUUCGGGUAAAAUCGAAAAAUUCGGUUAACCGAUCGAAUUCGGUUAAUCGGUCAGUUAACAGAAUUUUUUCGGUCGGGGGUCAGUUAAUUUUUUUAUGAUUUUUCUGUUAACGAUUAAUUCGGUUCGAAACCGGUCGGUUAACUGAAUUUUUUCGGUUAACCGAAAAAAUUAAUAAAUAAAAUUAUCCAACCCAACCCAAUUACCGAACCCAAUAAAACUAAAACUAAAGUCUACCCAAUUACCAACCCAAUAAAAAUAAAACUAAAGUCUGACUCUUAAGUAUCUACCCAAUUACACAUGUUUUUUUUUUUUUAGGUUUAAUGCAAAUGGAGAUUUUUUGGAGAGAAGAAAUAGAUAUAAAUAGAAAAUAUUAAAGACUUACAUUUCAACUAUGUGUUAAUUUUAAGAAUUAUAUAAUAUUUUUAAUUAUGUAGUGAUUCAAAGACUAAUUAUGUAAUAUUUUUAAUUAUGUAGUGAUUCAAUUCGGGUAAUUCGGUUAAUUCAGUUAAUUUUUAUUCAAAAAUAAAAACCAUACAAUUUUCGGUUAAUUCGGUUAACCGACCUAAUUAACCGAAAAAAUUUCGGUUUGAUUAAUUUUUUUUUUUAAAUUCGGUUCGGUUAACGGUUAAAAAUUUUGGAAGAUCGAUUAAUUCGGUUAUAGCUAUUUCGGAUCGGUUAACCGAAUGCACACCCCUAUUUUUCCCAAGUUCCAUUAUUAUCAUCCCAAAUCUUCAGUAUGAUAGAAAAAAACUAUUAAAUUCAGGUGAAAGUAAUGGAGAGCAAAUACAUAAAAAUAUUAAAAAUUUGAUAAGAAAUAUUAAAUAUAAAAACUAGAAUUUAAUAAUAUGAAGUUAUUUGAAUUAAAUAUAUGUAAUAUUAUUGUACCGCGUAAUUUUACAUGAUAAUAUUAGGCACUUACCCCUGUUUUAUUUAAAUUUCAUUUAUAAAAUGCUUUAUUGACUCAUUUCAUAUCAUGGACUAAAGAAGUUAAAUUCAAAAUUAGCAGAAUAUACCCUUUUUUCAAAACGAAAUACAAAGAAAAUUACCAUGAAACUGUUUGAAUCAUCUCUCAGUUGCUCAACGAAUUACUUCUUUGGAAUGUUAAAAAAAAUUACUUAUUUUUCUUUUUCUAUUAAUUUAAUUAAUAUAUCAUAAUAAUUAUUAUUACAAUUGCUACUCAUGCACAGGUUUGCUUUCACUAUAAAGAAUGCAUAAUAAUAGUCAAAAUUUAAACAUAUUAGAUAAAAAUAAAUAAAUAAUAAUGCAUUUUAUAAAAUUAUUUUUUAAAAUUAUUUUUAAAUCAUUUUAAAAAUAAUAUUUUAAUUAAAACUUAAAUUUGAAAAAAAAAGAAUGCCACAAAAAAUGAAUAUAUACAUUAUUAUAUUUAUUAUUUAUGAUAUGAUAUGAUUUCUUACAAAUGUUUCUAACAACAUUAGUUACCAUUUAAUCCACAAAGCUUUAAUUUACAAGUGUCAAAGAAAAAUCCUAAAAUACGGAAAUUAAUUUUUUGUAGAAUGUGAAAAGAUUUUUAAAAAAACUAAUAUUUAAUUUACAAUUUAGCUUUUAAAUUACAUUUAUAUAUUAAUUGUUUCAAUACUAAAAAUAUUAGUUUAUCUAAAAAAUAUUUUACUCAACCACAUAUAUAUAUAAUUAUAUAAAUUACAUCCUAGCAUUAAUCAUUUUUUUAACAAUUUCAAAGCUCGAGAUUUUAAAGGAAUAAUAAAAGGAAUAUUAAAACACCAUAAUUUUAAAGAGUGAUUAAUAUCCUUGAAAUUUAAACAAAUUCUCACAUCCGUAGGGCACUCUCCACCAUAAAACAUUUUAAACUAAAUAUGGUCAUUUUUUGGGUUUUAACUGAUUCAUUUUUUAAUAUAAAUAGAGAACUUCAAUAACAUAUUAUUCAAGCUUGUGCUCAAGGGGCCAUAAGUGAUAAGCAAUAAGCAACCCCACAACUUCAAAUAAGGUUUUCUUCUUUCUCGCUUUCUUUUCUUCAGGGGGAAAGAAAGAGAGAAGAAGAUACUUUUUUGAAAAAAAAAAAGUUGUUUAAGAAUGGCGAAUAAUGCUAUUAUUGGUAUUUGUGCGGUGUUUCUGGUGGCCUUGGUGGUAGCCGUGGUGGUGGGUGUUACGCACAUAAAAAACAAGAAUGAUGGUGAAGAGAUAUCGAGUUCGAACAAAGCCGUGCAAGCCCUAUGUCAACCCACGAAUUAUAAAGAGACGUGCCAGAAAAGCUUGGCGUCGUCAAAUUCUAGCGACGUUAAGGAGCUGAUAAGGACAGGUUUCCAAGCCGGGCUAGUUGAGAUAAAGAACGUGCUAGCCCAUUCAGUGACGGUCCAAGAGUUGAUCAAGGAUGAGAACAACAAAGCGGCACUUGGUGUUUGCCAAGAGGUGUUGGACUUAGCCAUUGAUGACUUUCAAAAGUCAUUCGACAUGCUAGGGGAAUACGACAUGAGCAAGAUCGGAAAAUACCUUUUGGAACUAAAGACCUGGCUAAGCGGUGCAUUCACGAGUCAACAGACAUGUAUAGACUCAUUCGCGGAAUCAAGUAACGAAUCAUCGCAGAAGAUGCAAUCAAUCUUGAAGACUAGCAUGGAGAUUACUAGCAAUGCUUUAGCGAUGCUUAAUGGGUUAUCCACCAUCGUG
RNAcentral lists this long non-coding RNA (24700 nucleotides) under Gossypium raimondii (Peruvian cotton). RNAcentral describes it as "long non-coding RNA (GRAI_LNC005036)". Lineage: Eukaryota; Viridiplantae; Streptophyta; Magnoliopsida; Malvales; Malvaceae. The record is from RNAcentral.